CGGCGGACGGGUGAGUAACGCGUGGGUAACCGUACCUCAUACAGGGGGAUAACAGUUGGAAACGGCUGCUAAUACCGCAUAAGCGCACAGUACCGCAUGGUACCGUGUGAAAAACUCCGGUGGUAUGAGAUGGACCCGCGUCUGAUUAGCUAGUUGGUGGGGUAACGGCCUACCAAGGCGACGAUCAGUAGCCGACCUGAGAGGGUGACCGGCCACAUUGGGACUGAGACACGGCCCAA
RNAcentral lists this ribosomal RNA (239 nucleotides) under uncultured bacterium. RNAcentral describes it as "partial 16S ribosomal RNA". It matches the Rfam family "Bacterial small subunit ribosomal RNA", at positions 96 to 334 of the family's 1533-position model. The record is from RNAcentral.